Orcinus orca (killer whale) is the source of this 2294-nucleotide long non-coding RNA. RefSeq lists it as uncharacterized. NCBI's taxonomy places the organism in Eukaryota, Metazoa, Chordata, Mammalia, Artiodactyla, Delphinidae. The record is from RefSeq and is a predicted model, not a curated record. The transcript has 4 exons.
AGGGCCCCUGCGUAUGGGGCUGGCUGCCGGUGCCAGAGCAAGGCCAGCCUGAAUGCCUCAGCCUGGGGAGCCACCAUUCAGGGCUAAAUUGACAGCUCAGAGAUACAGGAGUUCAGCCUGCUAAUUUGCUGCAAGAUACGGCAAAGGAAAGCCACUGACACCUGCGUCUCCAGCUGCCAGGAAGUGGGGCGAAUUUGCCAGUGACUUUGUCGUUGUCUAGCCACAGUGAGUAGUCCCAUGUUCCUCCUCCUCCAAGGACUUCCUUGGGAGAAUUUCAGAGCUUCUCUAGAAGAGAGUGAGUCCCAUUUCUUUCCUGAAAAUUCCUGGGAUGACGACGCCUGGUCAACCCAGCUUGGGUCAGCUGCCUUCCCCUAACCCAGUCAGCUCCGGACAGGCCCAUCGUUCAGCAUCGCUGCAUGCAUGGUAAACCCGGAAGAUGUAGGCGGUUUCCAGAAAAGCGUGGGCAGGAACAUUUCUUCUGAUUUUUCUCGUCACCCCACCAAAGGGCCAAUCUAGCAAACCAGGCUAUACUCCUAACUUGGGAGGUGGGAACACUGAACACGAGACAGACAGACAGACAGAGAGGUUGGCCUUUCAUCUGUACUGUGUAUUGAGCAAUCACAUCUAGUAUGAAAACACACUCUGCUCAGAUAUACUCACUCCUUAAGAGAAGAUGGCGGGAAAGACGCUCUAUAUUGGGAUUAUUAUUAAUUAAGAAAGGCUCAUGGGGGCUUUCCUGGUGGCACAGUGGUUGAGAGUCCGCCUGCCAAUGCACAGGACACGGGUUCGUGCCCCGGUCUGGGAGGAUCCCACAUGCCGCGGAGCGGCUGGGCCCGUGAGCCAUGGCCGCUGAGCCUGCGCGUCCGGAGCCUGUGCUCUGCAACGGGAGAGGCCACAGCGGUGAGAGGCCCGCGUACGGCAAAAAAACAAAAAACCAAAAAAAAGAAAGCCUCAUGGAUGCUAACAGAGAAACUCUGGAAUCAUCUGGGAAUCCCUUGAAGAAGCUGAGCCUUCUCUCCUGCUACCCACAGCCCAGUCUGCCCCAUCCUGAAAGGUGUCAAGGAACUGCACGGAUCAGGCUGACCAUGGAAGACCCAGGGUGGAGACAGACGCAAUGUCCCGUUCACACCUCACCAAGGAAGUGACUUGGUCAGGCGGCUCAAGGAGAAACUGGUGGUAACAGUGUCUAAGGCAGAUUCUUGGGUAGAGCACCUAGUACUUGGUAAUCCUCAGGAGAGUUAUUUAAAUUUCUGGGACUUUGGUUUUCCCAACCAGAAACUGAGCUUACCUCAUAGGGUUGUUGUAAAGAUUAAAUGCAUAAGUGGAGGUAAAAUACUUAGACUAGUACUUGGCAAAUAGUAAUUGGCCAUUAAAAUGUUAGCUGUGUUUAUUAGAGUACCUGUGAAUUCAUGCACACACCCACACACACACACCCACAGACACACACACACACACACACACACACACACACACAACCAAACACACAGCCAUGACCUUUGGCCUGAGUUUGGAUGACACACUCUCAUGGAGCUGUUCACUGACAGCUAAAUGAAAGUGUUAAGUGUCGGAUUCAGUCUCUUUCAUCAGGGCUACCAGCCAGCAAAAUGUGUGGAAGGAUCUCUUCAUUCAAUGUUUCCAGAGUUGUGAUAUAUGGUUCCCUGCCCUGGAACAGUGUAUGUCAGAGAGUGUACAUAUAUACAGGGCACUCCGAGCUCUGCAUCACUUUUUGCCUUCUCUGUGAAGUCUUCCCUGACCUGUCCAACAGAAGUGCUGAUUCUCCCCACUGAUUUCCUACAAUAUUUAUCAUCUGUGCCAUUCACUGUAUAGUCAGUAUUUACUGUGUAAUAUUGUUUAUUUACUUUUAGCUUUUUUGUGUGCAUGUAUUUUCUUUCCCAGAUAAGACUGUAAACCUUUGGGGACAGAAUUACUCUUGUUACUCACUAUGUCACUCACUUUUGUAUGUCCAAAGAGCAGAGCAAGGUGCUUUGCACAUAGAAUAUGUUUAAUAAAGUCCUUUGAUGACACAACCAAAGGUUUGAUGAUACUGGCUUUUUUAAUUUCCAAAUGACACAGUACUAAACUAGUGACCAAAAUGGAAUGACCUAUUUCCACAACAUCGCCUCCUCGAGCCUCAUGACUACAAAAGACGUAACAAAACUCCUUUCACUUAUUUCUCCUUCAUGCCAACAUCUCCUCUGGUAAUAUUCAAAUGGAGGUUUGCCUUGGAAUUUGGGGGGCCAGGAAGGUAGGUAGUAAACGGGAGACACUAGAAUUGGGAUGUGUGGGACUAUUUG